GGACAUGAGUACUGUGCUGUGGUUUUAGGUAACCGUUGAUGAUUUUAGAUAUUAAAGAUGAUUCAUAUGACAUUAAGAUUUAGUUGCCAUAGAAGAAAAGUAGGAUGAAUAUGAUAUGAAUUUCCAGGUAUACCAUCAACUGUUUCUGUUACACUUAAUAUCAACAAAUAGCUCGUUAGUAAACAUUAGAGCUCCUGCGUUCUAUUGUAUUGUGUCAUUUCAGUAAAGAUUGGCACUGUCAGGGAAUUUCUUCUACUCUAUAAAUUUCACUUCAUCUAUUUUAAGUUUUUAUGAUGUGCUUUAAUGUAAAUGAGGCUACAUUUAUUUUUAGGAUAUUGAAAAAAUAAUAUAAACAUAUUUUCAUGAAACGCCAUCAAUUCGGGGCAAGGCUGCAGAUGAGACUGAAUGAACCGCACCAGACUAAGGUAUUAGCCGCCUGCAUCAGUCGUGAAGAGAAUGGUGCCGAGGCCCAAUCUGUACUUUUCUUGAGGAAUUGCAGCAGCCAGACUCAAAGGGCUUUUCCCGUUUUCCUAGUUUCAUCUGUAAAACCAAAGCCAGUAAAUGACCAUUUGUGGUUGAUUCUCUUGGUGGGUAAAGGAUAAGAAAUAACUGGAAUCUUAUAAAUCUCAAGGCAAGGACGACAAUAUUUAACAAUGGCGAAUCUUUUUACAAACUUACAAAGUUCAAGCCAGUGAAAUUCGUCUUGUGACAACUCCUAAUUGCUUCAUUCUUGAAGCUGAAAUGCUUAUGUAAUGGGCCCCAAGAAUUAGAUAACACCAAUCGGGAACACCGAAGGGCUGUGGUUUAGCUGCCAGAAGUAAGACUAUGGAUCCAGACUACUGAGACACAGAGACAAAUCUACAUAUUAGGAGCUGCCAGCCAAGGAACUGGUUUAGUAUCUGAGUGAAAAUUCAAACUUCUGUCACUGGAAUCAACAGCCUGUCUCAUUAAAAGAGCCAACCUGGAGCAAUAAAAGAAACCCUUCAUUCUCCACGUUGCUUUGGGUAGGACAUUUAAUUACAGCUCUGAAGAAAGUCCAAACUGCAGUACAAAAUUCUUAUUUCACACAUUCUGGCAGAUGGAAUUGGGGCACAGAGCUUAACAUUUUUUCUAUUGCGGACUUAAAUUCCAAAUUAAAAGAGGUCGUGGAAAUCAGAGUUCUUUGUUUUCCUGAAGUGAUAGUUCACUGUCGUCAUACAUGCCUAGGAACUUUGUAAAUAUUGUAGACUGCUGGGGUCAGUUGCAAAGAUUAUUUUGUAGCUUAGAAAGCCAGAGUUAAUGAGUAUUCAGCUGAUGGUAUAAUUAUGUUCUACAUGGUUUCUACUUAUAAUUGCAGGCAAAACCGUGGGGCGAUAAAAGGCAUUCUGUCCACUGGAAUCCGAAGUCAAGACCCCCGAUAUGGUCUGAGGUAGCAAAUGUCGUUCCAUGCAGGGCAUAGCUCCAGGAGCCACUUUCGUGUUCUUAUAAAUGGACAUCACUGUGACUUUAACAGAGGAAAUGCAAACACAAUGAAUAAGCCUUCCUUUUCACAUUCCAGGAAGUCUAUGGAGAAAGCAAGAAGAAGAAAGAUGUGAGAGUGUCAUGCAUGUUACAUGUUACAAGAAAUACAUUGGUGUGGCAGAGACUCAAGCACUACUCAUCGUGGUCAAGUUACCCAUGACUAGCAUCUUCUCCUCUCACGUGAACAAUCUGGACUGGCGACCAUCUUAACUGGAACAACUGGGUGAAUAAUUAACCAGCAUAAAAUUAUUUAAGGAGUCAAGUCUCAAGAGGCUGACACACCUGGGCUGAACCUGGAAGUCUCCAGGUUUUGAAUUUGCGAGGCGGCUUGAGCUAACCCUAGGGCACGAAGCUGAAGGGCAGCCAGCGCUGGGCUAUAAUGGUGGUGACUUCUCUACUCCUAAAUGAUCUAAGAACCUUCCAGCACUGUGAGAACUGGUUCACAGGGUGAAGCUUCUAGCUCAGUUUCUCUGAUUGAUAACAUACCUAUAGUAUCAUCAUUUCUACUGGUUUUUUGAAGUUCUGUUCUCAGAUGUAACUGCCGAGGUGCAGAGAAAGUCGAGCAAUGCCUGAAACACAUUGGGUACACCAAGACCUUAAUAUGAGCCACAGGCCUGAACCCAACAAGUGAAAAUUCCAGGGCAUCUAGUUUGGAAGAAUCACACUCGUGCAUGCCUUCACACUUGGUAUUCUGUGGACUUAUCAUUGUGUACUAAACACUUCUUAUUGCCUUGGUUUCCAGCUCUCCUCCUGAGUAGAAAUUCAGUAAAGAUCUCACCCAAUAACAUUGAUUUGCAGCGAUAUUUAUUCACAAUAGUCUUGCGAAGACAACGUUCAGAAAGAAUGGGAAGGCAACAGUGCACUAUUCUGGAGGAGAGAACACCUCAGCAGUAUCAAUCAGAGGCAUGGAUGGCUGGUGUCACUUUCAGGAGAAUAGAAAGGAGUUCUGAAAACUGAGGAAGAGCUCUCUGCAAUAUGCCUGAAAAGUCGACAGGAUAGAACUGGCCUGAUGCAAGGCAGACAUUAGGAGCCCCUGUAAAGCAGCUUGUUAGCUGAAUGGAGCGAUGGGGAGCCUCACAUCUAACAGCCCUGCUGGCAGGGGUUCCUGCUGUCCUGGUAAAGUGCGGCAUGUUGGCAUGUUUUUCUCAACAGUGGUGAUAAUACCAUCGAGCUCUCCCUGAACUACUUGUA
Molecule: non-coding RNA, 2691 nt
Organism: Rattus norvegicus (Norway rat)
Lineage: Eukaryota; Metazoa; Chordata; Mammalia; Rodentia; Muridae
Source: RefSeq, a predicted model, not a curated record